This 85-nucleotide transfer RNA is filed under the name Bacteroidia bacterium. Its description in RNAcentral is "tRNA-Leu". It matches the Rfam family "tRNA". Rfam says of the family: Transfer RNA (tRNA) molecules are approximately 80 nucleotides in length. The record is from RNAcentral. Lineage: Bacteria; Pseudomonadati; Bacteroidota; Bacteroidia.
GCCCGGGUGGUGAAAUUGGUAGACACGCCACUUUGAGGGGGUGGUGCCGGUUACGGUGUGUGAGUUCGAAUCUCAUCUCGGGCAC